CAUCCAAUUGACGAAGAGUUUGGCCAUGAUAUAGAGCAAUACUCAAACACGAAUAGUGAUAGGCUUAACCGCAGGGCUGAAUCUAUCAAAAUAAUCAAUCCCAGGCCGCUGAUGAAUUGGCAACGGGGCGAGCCCUAUACCGCUCAACAUUGCCGUUUACGCUUAACCCGAAAGACCCUCUUAGACCCAACAAUCUUUUGAUGAGGAGAUGAUGGUACUAGUUCCCAGGUGCCAUUACGA
Molecule: long non-coding RNA, 240 nt
Filed under: Citrus x clementina
Lineage: Eukaryota; Viridiplantae; Streptophyta; Magnoliopsida; Sapindales; Rutaceae
Description: Citrus clementina (C. clementina) long non-coding RNA (CCLE_LNC001181)
Source: RNAcentral